Molecule: ribosomal RNA, 428 nt
Filed under: Acidobacteriota bacterium
Lineage: Bacteria; Pseudomonadati; Acidobacteriota
Description: Acidobacteria bacterium partial 16S ribosomal RNA
Rfam family: Bacterial small subunit ribosomal RNA
Source: RNAcentral
UGGGGAAUUUUGGACAAUGGGGGAAACCCUGAUCCAGCCAUCCCGCGUGUGCGAUGAAGGCCUUCGGGUUGUAAAGCACUUUUGGCAGGAAAGAAACGUCAUGGGUUAAUACCCCGUGAAACUGACGGUACCUGCAGAAUAAGCACCGCCUAACUACGUGCCAGCACCCGCGGUAAUACGUAGGGUGCAAGCGUUAAUCGGAAUUACUGGGCGUAAAGCGUGCGCAGGCGGUUCGGAAAGAAGAUGUGAAAUCCCAGAGCUCAACUUUGGAACUGCAUUUUUAACUACCGGGCUAGAGUGUGUCAGAGGGAGGUGGAAUUCCGCGUGUAGCAGUGAAAUGCGUAGAUAUGCGGAGGAACACCGAUGGCGAAGGCAGCCUCCUGGGAUAACACUGACGCUCAUGCACGAAAGCGUGGGGAGCAAACAGG